ACCGACGAAGGUGACUAUCAGGUCAAACUCAAGAACCUGACGCGUUUCCUUGAAGAUGGCGACAAGGGCAAGGUGACCUUGCGCUUUCGUGGUCGCGAGAUGGCACACCAGGAAAUCGGCCGCAAGCUCAUGGAGCGCGUAGAACAUGACUUGGACGAGCUUGCUGUUGUAGAAUCGCGCCCGAAGAUGGAAGGCCGGCAAAUGAUCAUGAUGCUGGCCCCCAGGAAAAAGUGAUCCGCGGGCAGUUAAACGAGCGUGCCGAUGCCAUCGCAGCAUGACUGUGGUGGCACGGUAUGCUGGCCUCGGGUUUUCUAAAAAAUAUCGUGCGGAGUUAUUCUCA
RNAcentral lists this unclassified non-coding RNA (340 nucleotides) under Kushneria avicenniae. RNAcentral's name for it is "Long range pseudoknot". The record is from RNAcentral. Lineage: Bacteria; Pseudomonadati; Pseudomonadota; Gammaproteobacteria; Oceanospirillales; Halomonadaceae.